GACGAACGCUGGCGGCGUGCUUAACACAUGCAAGUCGAACGGAAAGGCCCUGCUUUUGUGGGGUGCUCGAGUGGCGAACGGGUGAGUAACACGUGAGUAACCUGCCCUUGACUUUGGGAUAACUUCAGGAAACUGGGGCUAAUACCGGAUAGGAGCUCCUGCUGCAUGGUGGGGGUUGGAAAGUUUCGGCGGUUGGGGAUGGACUCGCGGCUUAUCAGCUUGUUGGUGGAGUAGUGGCUUACCAAGGCUUUGACGGGUAGCCGGCCUGAGAGGGUGACCGGGCACAUUGGGACUGAGAGACGGACCAGAAUGCUACGGGCGGCAGCAGUGGGGAAUAUUGCACAGUGGGCGGAAGCGUGAUGCAGAAACCCCGCGUGCGUGAUGACGGCCUUCGGGGUGUAAACCGCUUUCGCAUGUGACGAAGCGUGAGUGACGGUAAUGGGUAAAGAAGCAACGGCUAACUACGUG
RNAcentral lists this ribosomal RNA (468 nucleotides) under uncultured bacterium. RNAcentral describes it as "partial 16S ribosomal RNA". It matches the Rfam family "Bacterial small subunit ribosomal RNA", at positions 28 to 507 of the family's 1533-position model. The record is from RNAcentral.